GCCAGAGGAGGCAAGUGUGGUUCGGAAUUAUUGGGCUUAAAGCGCGUGUAGGCGGCCGCGUAAGUGCUUUGUGAAAGUCCACGGCUCAACCGUGGAAUUGCAGGGCAUACUGCGCGGCUUGAGGUCGGUAGAGGUGGCCGGAACUCUAGGUGGAGCGGUGAAAUGCGUAGAUAUCUAGAGGAACGCCUGAGGCGAAAGCGGGCCACUGGGCCGAUUCUGACGCUGAGACGCGAAAACGUGGGGAGAAAACAGG
RNAcentral lists this ribosomal RNA (253 nucleotides) under uncultured bacterium. Its description in RNAcentral is "partial 16S ribosomal RNA". It matches the Rfam family "Bacterial small subunit ribosomal RNA", at positions 524 to 776 of the family's 1533-position model. The record is from RNAcentral.